GUCCCGGCUGUAAACGAUGGACACUGAAUGGAGGAGGGUUCACCUUUCUCUGUUGCAGCUAACGCGUUAAGUGUCCCGCCUGGGGAGUACGGCCGCAAGGUUAAAACUCAAAGGAAUUGACGGGGGCUCGCACAAGCGGUGGAGCAUGUGGUUCAAUUCGAUGCAACGCGAAGAACCUUACCCGGGCUUGAAGUGGAGGUGGUAGGAGCCGGAAACGGCAACGACCCCGAAAGGGGAGCCUUCAUCAGGUGUUGCAUGGCUGUCGU
This 266-nucleotide ribosomal RNA is filed under the name uncultured bacterium. Its description in RNAcentral is "partial 16S ribosomal RNA". It matches the Rfam family "Bacterial small subunit ribosomal RNA", at positions 793 to 1055 of the family's 1533-position model. The record is from RNAcentral.